UUCACUAAUAAGCCCUAAAAUCUCAACGAGCUUUUCCCUUCUUCCUUUCCUCACUCGCUGUGCAAACUGAUUUCCCUUCUUCAAAUUUCAACGUGCUUUUCUUCUUCUUCGUUUCCUCUCUCGCCGACGAACCCUAAGAGCUCUCAAAGAAAGUUGGUGCCACUCUGUCCACCUCUCGACAUCAUCUCCUGCUUGUGCUGCUCGUUCUUCUUUGAUUCCACGGUGGAGAUUGUGAGCGGUUUUUGAUUUCAUAGUGCUGAUACGUUUCUUCGAUCCUUGAUUCCACAGGUUGCGGGCGAGAAGUCCGCUGAAGAGGAUCUACCCCCUGGAUGGAUUAAAGAAGCAAAGAUUAGGAAGAACAGAAAUGGCAUAAGGAAAGAUUGGUUAUAUAUUGAUCCAGUGAGUGGAUAUGUAUUCUAUUCCAAGAAGGAUGUACUGCGAUAUAUUGAAUCUGGAGAUAUAGACAAAUGUGCUAUUAAACCAAGUAGAAGACAAAAUCAAGAAGAAGACAACUCAACUUGUCCUAGGCAGCGUAAUGAAGUAGAUUGCGGUUUUUACAUGUUGCAGUUUAUGAAAGAAAUUCUUCUUUCGAAUCAAAUAGAGAUUCCGUCCAAGUAUUUUGACGACUUCAAGUGUGCUACUUACUCAAAAUCUAAGUUGGAUGAACUUAAGGAGGAAUGGUGUCAAUUCAUGAUUGAGUUGAAAGUUGUAUAGGAUAUUGAAGGGUAAAAAGGUUAGCAGCUGGCAAGAAGAAAAAGUAGAUAUUUAGCAUCCUUUUGACUUGUGUAAAAAAUAACAAUGUUUUGGAUAAUGCAAUUGUUUUCAUUGAAUUGGAUGUAAUUUUGUUGUUGUUUAUUAAUAUAUUCUUAUAUAAAAAAUUCAAAGUUUAUUCGUAUAUAUGUAUUCUUAGCAUCUUAGCUCUGAAAAAUA
Vicia villosa (hairy vetch) is the source of this 930-nucleotide long non-coding RNA. RefSeq lists it as uncharacterized. Lineage: Eukaryota; Viridiplantae; Streptophyta; Magnoliopsida; Fabales; Fabaceae. The transcript is spliced from 7 exons. The record is from RefSeq and is a predicted model, not a curated record.